UGCUUGUGCUCUCUCUCUCUCUCUCUCUCAAAAAUAAAUAAAUCUUUAAAAAUUAAUAAAUAUAAAGAAAAUAAAAGGUCAGUAUUAAUGGGGAAAUAUAAAAGUUUAUUUUGUGUGUGUGAUAAAAAAUUAUAAUCGAGAAAAGAGAUAAUGUGCAGGAUGCUAUGGUGGGAAAAAAUAAUUUAUUAAAUAGGAAAAGUAGACCUGCAAGCAAAGCAGUCAAAAACAAAAUGUCAUAUAAUUUGAAUUGAAAAAGGCAAAAAAUAUGAAAGGUAAUCUGAAAAAGAAAUAUAAAGUGCCAAUUCUGAAGAAAUGUCAACUUCACAUAUAAAUAAAAACAUGCAAAUUACCCUAAAAAUUACCUUUUUUCUUCUCAGAUUAGUAAAUAUUUUAAAAAUUGACUCUAGUGUUGGAGAAUGGGUAAACUUUUCUAGAAGACAAUUGAGAAAUAUGUAUGAAAUUAAAACAUGCGCAUCAUAUAAUCUAAAAAAAUACAUAUCUGAGAAAUUGGCCUAAAGAAAUAGACAUUCAUUUAUAUUGGCCAUGUAUGCAGAAAAAAUUCUACAGAAAGGGAAACAAAUUCUAUAUAAGGUUACUGUAUAUUUCGUAAAUACUAUGUGUCCCUUCAAAACAAAUGAUACCUUUUUGAAAAAUAGUUUGAGCAUUCCCCAUCAUGGUAGUAACCUGUGAUAGUGGCAAUAAUAUGCAACUGGCUAUUAAAAUGAUGCAAGCUAUGUGUAUGAUGUUGAAGGUUUAAAUUUUUUUCUAAUAUGAUUAAUGUGUCCCACAAAGUAAGCUAAAUUGAUUCUUAUGAAUGGAGUUGUAAAAGCAACACCACCUGUGCUCCUUUGUAGGCGUGAAUUGGAGUUGUUUCCUCCACAACACACAGUUGGUGGUAUUAGGGAAAGAACAACUUUCCCUUCUAUUACAUAUUUAGGAGAAAAUGUUUUCCCAUCAAAGUGCAUCUUCUCUCUUGGUCGCAAAUCUUUCUUGAUGUCCAUAUGUCUGUGUUUCACACAAUCACUUGCUUGCAACAUACUGAACCUUCCCUUUGCCCAACUUUAAACUUCACAAAAUGGAAUAUAGACGUUUGGCUAUCAGCUGGAUGAACAGAGAUUUGUGUUUACAUGCUGUGAUGCUGCCUCGCAGUCAACAGCUCUGUUGUGAAAGCCUUAAUGAUGUUCCUGUUACAAAGGCAGGUGUUGAUUAUUUGAAAAAUUUAUCCUAUUGUGCCUUUAUUAUUGUUAAGUACUGCAGUUUGAAAGAAUUGCUGUUGGUUACACAUUACAUAGUUGAAUCAAAGGUGAUUGUUGCUACAUCUGCAGAAAACAACUCAUUUUGACCCUUAAUCCUAAACAUACUGGAUUUAAAUAGGUCAAUGUGGGUCAAUUAUAAAGCAAAAUGAAGAAAACUAAAGGAAAACUGGGAGUUUAUAAUUUUCUCUCAAUAAUUUGGUGCUAGAAUUACUGUAACAUUUAUUUGACUUUUGAGUAUUUUAUAAUCUUGAUUUAAUUUUGAUAUUUUUUAGUCUAAACCAAAACUAGCUACCAUAAUGAUUCUGUUGCAACCUUCCUGCCAUUGUUGUAGCCACCCCUAUUGGCUCUGUCAGAAAACCAUAAAUAAGGCUAAGUCAACAAAAGAAGAGAUUGGACUGACAAUUUAUAAAAAAGUCCUACCAACCUAUUCAGAUAGCUGAAGUCCCAUGCAAAUACCUCAAAAUUUAUUCAGUGUCUUUUUCUUCUCUGUUUUUCAGAUACUAUCUCUUUCCUUUGCUCUCUCUUCUUCGUUUUCUUCCUCCCUUCCUCUGUUAGCCUAUUCCUCCCCACAUGUUAAUUUUUAAAGUAAUUUUCUUUUGAAUACUUUUUCUCUGAAAUUUAAAACACAUACACACAAACACUUUAAAUGUGAAUCCCAUGGUUGAUUUUUUUUUCUGCAUCACUGACCCAGAAAUAACACAAAGUCAUGUUUGUGUUUCAGUGUAAUACCAAUGAGAGAUGAUAACAAACAAGGACAAAGCAGACAAAUCCACCUGGCUCACAUUCUAAGUGAACACAAGUGACAGUGAACACUUUCCAAAUUGCCAGGACUAAUUGAAUAAAUGGUUACUUGUAAGAAUGACGUACAAGCAGUCUUGGCUUGACUGUUGCAUUGUUUAGAAUUCCACCUGCCAAAGAAAGUGGGAAAAUGCACAAUAGAAGAAAAUCUCUUUUUCAUUUCUUUAUUAGUGUCACAUACACUGAUGCCAAUAAAGCUGUCAGGCAGAUGUUUCGGCUUAAAUACCCCUGGCAGUAACUUUAUUGAAAAUCAACACAAAUCAUGGUCAACUAUCAGUUUUUACUCCCCAAAGAAACAAUUAAGUCAAAGUGACAGCUCCGAAGGCCUCAUGAGGCGAAAACCAAAGCUCAAGGUCUGUGAGUGGAAGGUGUUUUGUGUCACAGUUGUCAGUCUACAAUCGGGUCAAUGGUCCUUUCUUUAUUUGAUUUUACUGUACAUCAGACCCACUCAUUUCUACAAAGAAAAAAAAAGGCUAAUAGAGCUAUCAGGUGAGCACUGUGCAUAAAAUCAAUCCUAUUAGCCUGAAGGAAAAGCAAAACUCUCGUGUCUGAGUGACAUUAAUUUGUGUCUAUGUCUUUGAUUUUACAAGCUCUGGUAUUAUAACAAUAAUCAUAUUUAUUCUAAAACUACCUCCUUAUGAAUUACUUCAUAAAUAUUUGUUUCAAAUACUUAGAAGAGUGAUUAAUGUUUAUUACAUAAUGUUUAUUUAUUACUUUAAUAAUAUAACAUGUAGUCAUUUUCAAAUUUACACUCGUCAUUCACCUUGAUUCCUCCCUCAAGCCAAAAAUUGGGGAGGAAAAACAUGCUUAUAUAUGUAUGCAACAGUCUCAAAAUCUGAGUCUCAAAGUCUUAAUAACUUGAUAAUGAGGAUGAACUCUGUAUGAAUGUGUGUGUGUGUGUGUGUGUGUGUUUAACACUCAGAAGAGAGUAGCCUGAUCCAGGAAUAGAGUCCAUAUUUUCUGACUUUAAAUAAUCUGUUGUUCUGGUUUAGUCACUGCAUUUAUCUAUUUAACUUUUUAAAUUUAGGAACAGUAAUAAAUCUUCGAAUCAUAAUUAGUUUAAUAACAAGGGCUGUGGGCUUCACUGUCUCCAAAAGAUGAUAUAUUCAGUUAGAUAUUCCGGAAAUGCAUGUGGUGUUUAAUUAACUCAUUUAUUCCUUCCUUAAUUUCUUUCAUCAACUGUAUAGGUGUCCACAACUUCAUCUUGAACAAUACUGAGGUGGAUGGGAACCCAGAUACUCUUCCUGGUUUCACAUCUUGAUACCAACAAUUACCACUGAGUAAAUUAAGCAAGUGAUUGCCUUCUGAAGUUUUGUUUUGUUUUGUUUUUAAUGGAACUGCACCUACAAAUGAGACUGAGAUACAGUUUAUUUUUUUAAUGUUUAUUUAUUUUUGAGAGGGAAACAGUGUAAGCGGGUGAGGAGCAGAAGGACAGAGACAGAGAAUCUAAUGCAGGCUCCUCACUGUUAGCAGAGAGCCCGACGCAGGGCAUGAACUCACGAACCAUGACAUUAUGACCUCAGCUGAAGUCAGAUACUUAACCGACUGAGCCACCUAUGUACCCUUGUUAUAUAAGCUUUUUUAUAUGUAGAACGGGUGCAGCAGACCCUAUCACACUGAAUAUUUAGGAAGAUUAAAUGACAUAUAGAUAUAUUAUUCAUACUGAGGACCUGCUACAUGCCAGGCACAGGGUUAAGUACUGGAAAUAGUGUCAGUGAGGAAAAUAAACAAGGCCAUGCUUUUAUGGAAUUUUCUACAUUUGGGAAGAAUUUGACAAUAAAAAAAGAACAAAUAUAGUCACAUCUCAUUGUUCACAACAGUCGUGUUUUCUAAAGUCACCAUGAACUCUGAAUUAGCACACACUAAACCACUGCUCCUAGGGGUGGGUUCCUGUGAGCCUCGGUCACAACAGUUCCUGCCAGCUGAUCAAUACAUAACCUUGUUUCCUGUGUGUUUCUGGUUAAAAACACUUCAUUUAAUAUAUGCUGUUGAUACACUGACAUUGAAUUCACCGCCAACAGCACUAUAACUCAUUCCUGAACAAAACUCAUAUAACACACACAUUUUCUCUGUAAGGCGCAUCAUAGCUCUCUUGCACUUAGGAACACUAGACAGUACUUAAGCAGUACACUUGGGGCCAUUUUAAACAGAAAAAUCACCAACAAAAGGCACACAAAAAUGCGAAAAACAUGGCACAAAAUAGACUGUAGAAAAGACACUUGUUUGUAGUAUGAUAGCUGAGAACAAGAAGGCAGAGUCCAACCUCAGAUGAGAACAUGCUCCCUCAGUGGCAGAUUUUUCACAGCUGUGCACAUGCCAUGACUGACCCUGAAAACAAUGCAAGUAUUAGGUUUGACGUUACAAAUAAAUUCUAGUGGUAGGGCAAAUUUGUGAAUACAGAUUGUGAAUACAGACUUUGUGUGCGUGCUUGCAUGCGUGUGUGUGUAUGUGUGUGUGUGUUUAAGACAUACCAGGUGGUAAAAAGUAUUAUGGAGAAAAAUAAAUCAAGGUAUAGGUUCAGAGAAUUCUGCUGCUGAUGGAGCUACACUGAAUAACGCUGCUAUGAACAUUCGCUCACGUGUAUUGCUGUGUACAAUACAUAUGUUAUGCUUCUUGGGUACAUACCUAGGAGGUGGAUCGCUGAAUCAUAUGCUGGCAUGGUAUCAGAAGAGACCAGGGGAGAGUUAGGACUUCCACCACCACAUUGUGGUAGUGAUUAGCUCGAUUAAUAAUCAACAACACUUGGAAGCAACAAAGAUGUCCUUUGGUAGGUGAAUGGAUAAAUAAAAUGUGGUAUAUCUAGACAGUGAAAUACUAUUUAGUGCUAAGAAUACAUAAGCUAUUAAACCAUGAAAAGACAUGGAGGAAUCUUAAAUGAAUAUUAAUAAGUGAAAUAAGCUAAUCUUAAAAAGCUACAUGCUGUAUGAUUCCAACAUUCUGGAAAAGAUUCUGGAAAAGGCAAAACUAUGGAGACAAUAAAAAGAUUAGUGGUCGCUGCAAGGAAUUGUGCAAAGUGAUAAAUAAUCAGAACAGAGAGAAUUUUUAGGACAGGAAAAAAAAUCUGUAUAUACUAUAACAAUGGGUGUGUUGUUUACAUUUGUUCAAACUCAUUGAAUGUACAACUAUGGACUUUGGAUGAUCACUGUUUGUCAAUGUUAUGUGUAAAUUCACCAAUUGUAACAAAUGUUUUUGUAUUUUGUGUGUGUGUGUGUAUAAAAAAGGAUUACAUUUCAUACCGAAAGAAGAGCAUCAUUGGACUCAUGCCCAUGGUCUCAACUUUCCUGAUGGAACAAUAUAAUGGCCUACUAAAGAUUUAGUUGUACACAGAGAAAACAGAGAAGUGUUGGAGUCCUAUCUUGCAAGAACUCAUAUAUAUUUUGAAACUACAGUCAGUGUUGCUCUUUCCUUAUAGACAAAGACCAAGAGGUAGAAGUUGAGUGACUCCUUUUGAAUUUUUUUAUCUUUAUUGAAGAAUAAUUUCUGUGCAAUAAACUGUGCCCUUUUGUGCCAAAAGGAAAAAUAAAAGAAAAUAAAUAGAAACAGAAAUCAAUAAAGUUGAAGACAGAAAAAAAAAUGAAAAAACAAUGAAAGGGUCCUUUGAAAAGAACUCUACACAAAAAAUUCUUUGACUUGACACAAAAACAUGAUCUAUAAAAGGAAAAAAAUAACAAAUUAGACCUUAUAAUAAUUAAACCUUUGCCUGUAAAGUGCCUUAUUAAGGGUAUGAUAGAACAAGCUACAGAAUAGGAGAGAAAAUAUUCAUACCAUAUAUCUGACAAAGGACUAGUAUCUAGAAUAUAUAAAGAACUCUUAAAACUAACAGUAAAAGAGCAAACAAUCCAAUUAGAUCAUGAGCAAAACAUUAGGAGGCAUUUCACCACAAAAGACACACAGAUUACAAAUAAGCAAAUGAAAUAUGUUCAAUAUGAUCAGCUAUUAGUAAAAUGCAAAUUAAAAUCCCAAUGAAAUGUUUCUUCAUACUUUUAAGAAUGCUUAAAUUACAAUUAGGGACAACACAAAAUGGUGGUGAGGAUAUGGAGACGCUGAAUCUCUCACACAACGGAUAGUAAUGUAAAAUGAUACAACCAUGCCAGAGAACAGUUUGGCAUUUCUUAAAAAUCUAUAUGAAACUACCAUACAACCCACCUAUUGUACUUUUAGGGUUUUAUCCAGAAAAAUAAAGAUGUAUGUUACAUAAAACCUGUACACAUUCAUUUCAUGUCCUUAUUCAAAUAUACCACUGGAGGGAGCUGGAAAAAUAGUACACUAGAUGUCUGUUAUUAUUUGUUACAACUGCGUGUGAAUCUACAAUUAUCUCAAAAUAAGUUUAAUUUUAAAAAUAUAGUAUAUUGUUUUUUUCCACUAAUAGGAUAUGAAAUUUAAUACCUAAUAUUCAUUAAAAUUCUGAAAUGCUAUAAAAGUAAUAAAAGAUGCACUUUGAUCUUAUAAGACUGGCUUAUACAUAUUUAGUAGUUGGGGAAUAUUUUUUUAUGUAACAACUUAGUAAUACCUAAAAACUGGAAUCAACUCAGAUGUUCUUCAACACGUAAAGUGUUAAAUUGUACAUCCAUAAUGUGGAAUACUAUUCAGAAAUAAAAGGAAAUGGACUAUUGAUGCACACAACAACUGCUACGUCCAGAGAAUUAUGCUGAAUGGAAAAGGUCAAUUCCAAAAGAUUAUUUAUUGUGUGAUUACAUUUUUAUGAAAUUCUUGAAAUGACAAAUUAUAGAAAUGAUGAACAGAUUGAUCAUUGAGUUUAUAGAGAGGCUGGAAGUGUAAGAGAAGUGACCGGGACUUUAAAAGUGAAACAAGAAGGACUCUUGGGGUGAUGGACAUGUUUCGUACCUUGACUCUAUGGGUAUGAAUACACUGCUUGUAAUAUUGCAUUGUAGUUUUGCAAGAUGAUACCAUUGGAAAAAACCGCAUAAGCAUACCUGGAGCUUCUCUGUAUUGUUUCUUAAAACUGCAUAUGAAUCUACAAUUACCUCAAGAUAAAAAGUUUACUAAAAAGAAAAAAAAAAAAGAAGAAAAAGCGUAGUCACCUUUGGAGGACAAAAAGGAACUGAUUUUUUUUAAAUAAUGAAUAAUGGGGGAAAAACUAUCUUUAUCUUACCUUUACUAUAUGAACUAUAACAC
This is a long non-coding RNA of Acinonyx jubatus (cheetah), 7190 nucleotides long. RefSeq lists it as uncharacterized. The record is from RefSeq and is a predicted model, not a curated record. The transcript has 3 exons. NCBI's taxonomy places the organism in Eukaryota, Metazoa, Chordata, Mammalia, Carnivora, Felidae.